RNAcentral lists this ribosomal RNA (165 nucleotides) under uncultured bacterium. Its description in RNAcentral is "partial 16S rRNA". It matches the Rfam family "Bacterial small subunit ribosomal RNA", at positions 355 to 511 of the family's 1533-position model. The record is from RNAcentral.
UAGGGAAUCUUCCACAAUGGGACGAAAGUCUGAUGGAGCAACGCCGCGUGAGUGAAGAAGGUUUUCGGAUCGUAAAGCUCUGUUGUUGGUGAAGAAGGAUAGAGGCAGUAACUGGUCUUUAUUUGACGGUAAUCAACCAGAAAGUCACGGCUAACUACGUGCCAG